RNAcentral lists this ribosomal RNA (154 nucleotides) under Sarcodon aff. imbricatus VPC-2007. Its description in RNAcentral is "5.8S ribosomal RNA". It matches the Rfam family "5.8S ribosomal RNA". From Rfam's summary of the family: 5.8S ribosomal RNA (5.8S rRNA) is a component of the large subunit of the eukaryotic ribosome. It is transcribed by RNA polymerase I as part of the 45S precursor that also contains 18S and 28S rRNA. The record is from RNAcentral. Lineage: Eukaryota; Fungi; Basidiomycota; Agaricomycetes; Thelephorales; Thelephoraceae.
ACUUUCANCAACGGAUCUCUUGGCUCUCGCAUCNAUGAACAACGCACCGAAAUGCGAUAANUAAUGUGAAUUGCACAAUUCANUGAAUCAUCCAAUCUUUGAACGCACCUUGCGCUCCUUGGUAUUCCGAGGAGCAUGCCUGUUUGAGUGUCAU